This 71-nucleotide transfer RNA is filed under the name Planctomycetaceae bacterium. Its description in RNAcentral is "tRNA-Arg". It matches the Rfam family "tRNA". From Rfam's summary of the family: Transfer RNA (tRNA) molecules are approximately 80 nucleotides in length. Their secondary structure includes four short double-helical elements and three loops (D, anti-codon, and T loops). The record is from RNAcentral. Lineage: Bacteria; Pseudomonadati; Planctomycetota; Planctomycetia; Planctomycetales; Planctomycetaceae.
GCCUUGCGAGUGUGAUGGAAGCACGGCGGUCUUCGGAACCGUAAGACGGGGUUCAACUCCUCGGCGAGGUA